GAAACAACGUGAGGUUUCGGGGGUGCAGAAAACACACGACCACUACGGGUCAACCCGCUCACAUCAGCAAUAUUUACAACCGAAGUUGAAGGCAACGACACUUCCUUCCCAUCUUCCACAACAACUGGAUUAUAUCUGAAAGGAAUUGCUCUAUCCGAAGAAUAAGGCACAGGGCCUGCAGGCUUGAUCACUAAAGAAGGAGAAACCUUCGGCUUGCUACCAUCAUAACGGAUGACAACAGGCUCAGGCAACUUGAAC
RNAcentral lists this long non-coding RNA (258 nucleotides) under Lathyrus oleraceus (garden pea). RNAcentral describes it as "Pisum sativum (pea) long non-coding RNA (PSAT_LNC007001)". Lineage: Eukaryota; Viridiplantae; Streptophyta; Magnoliopsida; Fabales; Fabaceae. The record is from RNAcentral.